UGAACGCUAGCUACAGGCUUAACACAUGCAAGUCGAGGGGCAGCAUUGGGAUAGCUUGCUAUCCAGAUGGCGACCGGCGCACGGGUGAGUAACGCGUAUCCAACCUUCCCUAUAGUAGAGAAUAGCCCGGCGAAAGUCGGAUUAAUGCUCUAUGUUGUGUUUUGAGGACAUCUGACGAACACCAAAGGUUCACCGCUAUAGGAUGGGGAUGCGUCUGAUUAGCUUGUUGGCGGGGUAACGGCCCACCAAGGCGACGAUCAGUAGGGGUUCUGAGAGGAAGGUCCCCCACAUUGGUACUGAGACACGGACCAAACUCCUACGGGAGGCAGCAGUGAGGAAUAUUGGUCAAUGGGCGAGAGCCUGAACCAGCCAAGUAGCGUGCAGGAUGACUGCCCUAUGGGUUGUAAACUGCUUUUAUCAGGGAAUAAAGUGCGGCACGUGUGCCGUUUUGUAUGUACCUGAUGAAUAAGGACCGGCUAAUUCCGUGCCAGCCGCUGC
Molecule: ribosomal RNA, 498 nt
Filed under: uncultured bacterium
Lineage: Bacteria
Description: bacterial SSU rRNA
Rfam family: Bacterial small subunit ribosomal RNA
Source: RNAcentral